CUCUCCUUAGCUCAGUUGGAAGAGCGUGAGACUGUAAUGGUGGAUACAAUGUACGAUUGUAAUCUCAAGGUCCCUGGUUCGAACCCGGGAGGGGAGA
This is a transfer RNA of Baudoinia panamericana, 97 nucleotides long. It matches the Rfam family "tRNA". Rfam says of the family: Transfer RNA (tRNA) molecules are approximately 80 nucleotides in length. Their secondary structure includes four short double-helical elements and three loops (D, anti-codon, and T loops). Lineage: Eukaryota; Fungi; Ascomycota; Dothideomycetes; Mycosphaerellales; Teratosphaeriaceae. The record is from Rfam.